GGCGGCUCGAGUGGUGGCCACUAUUACUGGGCUUAAAGCGUUCGUAGCUGGUUUGUUAAGUCUCUGGGGAAAUCUGCCGGCUCAACCGGCAGGCGUUCCAGGGAUACUGGCAGACUAGGGACCGGGAGAGGUGAGGGGUACUCCAGGGGUAGGAGUGAAAUCCUGUAAUCCUUGGGGGACCACCUGUGGCGAAGGCGCCUCACCAGAACGGCUCCGACAGUGAGGGACGAAAGCUGGGGGAGCAAACC
This 248-nucleotide ribosomal RNA is filed under the name uncultured euryarchaeote. RNAcentral's name for it is "partial 16S ribosomal RNA". It matches the Rfam family "Archaeal small subunit ribosomal RNA", at positions 478 to 725 of the family's 1478-position model. The record is from RNAcentral. Lineage: Archaea; Methanobacteriati; Methanobacteriota.